GAGCCGUGUGGUGAGCACAAGUCGAACUAUUCUUUCGCCUUUUACUAAAGAAUACCGUGUGCUCGCUACUUAUUUUGCGGCAUACAUUUAUUUUUGGAGGGAUUGAAUUAUAAAUCCC
Quercus lobata is the source of this 118-nucleotide small nuclear RNA. RefSeq annotates it as U5 spliceosomal RNA. NCBI's taxonomy places the organism in Eukaryota, Viridiplantae, Streptophyta, Magnoliopsida, Fagales, Fagaceae. The transcript has a single exon. The record is from RefSeq and is a predicted model, not a curated record.